RNAcentral lists this ribosomal RNA (490 nucleotides) under uncultured bacterium. RNAcentral's name for it is "partial 16S ribosomal RNA". It matches the Rfam family "Bacterial small subunit ribosomal RNA", at positions 30 to 507 of the family's 1533-position model. The record is from RNAcentral.
AUUGAACGCUGGCGGCAGGCCUAACACAUGCAAGUCGAACGGUAACAGGAAGAAGCUUGCUUCUUUGCUUACGAGUGGCAGACGGGUGAGUAAUGUCUGGGUAACUGCCUGAUGGAGGGGGAUAACUACUGGAAACGGUAGCUAAUACCGCAUAACGUCUCAAGACCAAAGAGGGGGACCUUCCGGCCUCUUUGCAUCCGAUGGUCCCAGAUGGGAUUAGCUAGUAGGUGGGGUAACGGCUCACCGAGGCGACGAUCCCUAGCUGGUCUGAGAGGAUGACCAGCCACACUGGAACUGAGACACGGUCCAGACUCCUACGGGAGGCAGCAGUGGGGAAUAUUGCACAAUGGGCGAAAGCCUGAUGCAGCCAUGCCGCGUGUAUGAAGAAGGCCUUCGGGUUGUAAAGUACUUUCAGCGGGGAGGAAGGGAGUAAAGUUAAUCCCUUUGCUCAUUGACGUUACCCGCAGAAGAAGCACCGGCUAACUCCGUG